RNAcentral lists this ribosomal RNA (1502 nucleotides) under Klebsiella sp. ok1_1_9_S4. Its description in RNAcentral is "bacterial SSU rRNA". It matches the Rfam family "Bacterial small subunit ribosomal RNA". The record is from RNAcentral. Lineage: Bacteria; Pseudomonadati; Pseudomonadota; Gammaproteobacteria; Enterobacterales; Enterobacteriaceae.
UGAACGCUGGCGGCAGGCCUAACACAUGCAAGUCGAGCGGUAGCACAGAGAGCUUGCUCUCGGGUGACGAGCGGCGGACGGGUGAGUAAUGUCUGGGAAACUGCCUGAUGGAGGGGGAUAACUACUGGAAACGGUAGCUAAUACCGCAUAAUGUCGCAAGACCAAAGUGGGGGACCUUCGGGCCUCAUGCCAUCAGAUGUGCCCAGAUGGGAUUAGCUAGUAGGUGGGGUAACGGCUCACCUAGGCGACGAUCCCUAGCUGGUCUGAGAGGAUGACCAGCCACACUGGAACUGAGACACGGUCCAGACUCCUACGGGAGGCAGCAGUGGGGAAUAUUGCACAAUGGGCGCAAGCCUGAUGCAGCCAUGCCGCGUGUGUGAAGAAGGCCUUCGGGUUGUAAAGCACUUUCAGCGGGGAGGAAGGCGGUAAGGUUAAUAACCUCAUCGAUUGACGUUACCCGCAGAAGAAGCACCGGCUAACUCCGUGCCAGCAGCCGCGGUAAUACGGAGGGUGCAAGCGUUAAUCGGAAUUACUGGGCGUAAAGCGCACGCAGGCGGUCUGUCAAGUCGGAUGUGAAAUCCCCGGGCUCAACCUGGGAACUGCAUUCGAAACUGGCAGGCUAGAGUCUUGUAGAGGGGGGUAGAAUUCCAGGUGUAGCGGUGAAAUGCGUAGAGAUCUGGAGGAAUACCGGUGGCGAAGGCGGCCCCCUGGACAAAGACUGACGCUCAGGUGCGAAAGCGUGGGGAGCAAACAGGAUUAGAUACCCUGGUAGUCCACGCCGUAAACGAUGUCGAUUUGGAGGUUGUGCCCUUGAGGCGUGGCUUCCGGAGCUAACGCGUUAAAUCGACCGCCUGGGGAGUACGGCCGCAAGGUUAAAACUCAAAUGAAUUGACGGGGGCCCGCACAAGCGGUGGAGCAUGUGGUUUAAUUCGAUGCAACGCGAAGAACCUUACCUGGUCUUGACAUCCACAGAACUUUCCAGAGAUGGAUUGGUGCCUUCGGGAACUGUGAGACAGGUGCUGCAUGGCUGUCGUCAGCUCGUGUUGUGAAAUGUUGGGUUAAGUCCCGCAACGAGCGCAACCCUUAUCCUUUGUUGCCAGCGGUCCGGCCGGGAACUCAAAGGAGACUGCCAGUGAUAAACUGGAGGAAGGUGGGGAUGACGUCAAGUCAUCAUGGCCCUUACGACCAGGGCUACACACGUGCUACAAUGGCAUAUACAAAGAGAAGCGACCUCGCGAGAGCAAGCGGACCUCAUAAAGUAUGUCGUAGUCCGGAUUGGAGUCUGCAACUCGACUCCAUGAAGUCGGAAUCGCUAGUAAUCGUAGAUCAGAAUGCUACGGUGAAUACGUUCCCGGGCCUUGUACACACCGCCCGUCACACCAUGGGAGUGGGUUGCAAAAGAAGUAGGUAGCUUAACCUUCGGGAGGGCGCUUACCACUUUGUGAUUCAUGACUGGGGUGAAGUCGUAACAAGGUAACCGUAGGGGAACCUGCGGCUGGAUC